Molecule: long non-coding RNA, 538 nt
Organism: Temnothorax curvispinosus
Lineage: Eukaryota; Metazoa; Arthropoda; Insecta; Hymenoptera; Formicidae
Exons: 2
Source: RefSeq, a predicted model, not a curated record
AGCUAAAAGAAACAGACCCACAGUCUUCCCUAAUCCGGCAAAAAAAAUAUAAAAAAAUCAACAUACGUAUGUAAAGCUGUGCUGUAUAUGUAUACUCCAAAAUUAAUUGUUUUUCCUUAGAGUCGUACAACUUUCACAUCUUGUGAUCCAGACGAAUGGGUUAUGACGAAUACAACACUAGAGUGGAGUAAUAACACAAAAAUGAUUACGUGUAACAUUACUUACAAAGAGGCGGACAAUCGCAUAAUAUACAGGAUACAUAUUAUGAUAGGCGGUUGUAAGAACCGUACUGCAUGUACUGAAGAACCAACAAUAUGGGUGGAAGAUAUCAACUGUAAUGCCCAAAAUCUUACAGAAUCAGACAUGGACGCUUGUAUAAUUGCAAAUGUAAUUAUAUUUUUACAAUUAUUAAUAUUAUUUCAAUUUUUGUUAUUUAUUUAUAUUAUACUAAUCAACAACAUCCAAAAGAACUAUUUUUACUUUAAGAUAUUUUUUUUUUGCGUUAUUACGAUAAAUCAAGCAAGUAACGUUAUAUCGC